Molecule: ribosomal RNA, 465 nt
Filed under: Lacticaseibacillus rhamnosus
Lineage: Bacteria; Bacillati; Bacillota; Bacilli; Lactobacillales; Lactobacillaceae
Description: bacterial SSU rRNA
Rfam family: Bacterial small subunit ribosomal RNA
Source: RNAcentral
GAUGAACGCUGGCGGCGUGCCUAAUACAUGCAAGUCGAACGAGUUCUGAUUAUUGAAAGGUGCUUGCAUCUUGAUUUAAUUUUGAACGAGUGGCGGACGGGUGAGUAACACGUGGGUAACCUGCCCUUAAGUGGGGGAUAACAUUUGGAAACAGAUGCUAAUACCGCAUAAAUCCAAGAACCGCAUGGUUCUUGGCUGAAAGAUGGCGUAAGCUAUCGCUUUUGGAUGGACCCGCGGCGUAUUAGCUAGUUGGUGAGGUAACGGCUCACCAAGGCAAUGAUACGUAGCCGAACUGAGAGGUUGAUCGGCCACAUUGGGACUGAGACACGGCCCAAACUCCUACGGGAGGCAGCAGUAGGGAAUCUUCCACAAUGGACGCAAGUCUGAUGGAGCAACGCCGCGUGAGUGAAGAAGUCUUUCGGGUCGUAAAACUCUGUUGUUGGAGAAGAAUGGUCGGCAGAGUAC